GAUGAACGCUGGCGGCGUGCCUAAUACAUGCAAGUCGAGCGAACAGACGAGGAGCUUGCUCCUCUGACGUUAGCGGCGGACGGGUGAGUAACACGUGGAUAAACUAACUAUAAGACUGGGAUAAUUUCGGGAAACCGGAGCUACUACCGGAUAAUAUAUUGAAAUGCAUGGUUCAAUAGUGAAAGAAGGUUUUGCUAUCGCUGAUAGAUGGCACGGCCUCGGAUUAGCAAGUUGGUGAGGUAACGGCUUACCAAGGCAACGAUCAGCAGCCGACCUGAGAGGACGCGCCGCAACACCGGGAGGGAGGCACGGGUAAGACUCCUACGGGAGGGAGCAGAGGGGAAACUGGCGCACUGGGCGAAAGUCUGAAGGAGCCAUGACGCGUGAAUGAUGAUGGUCUGAGGAUUGUAAAAUUCUAUGACCGGGGACGAUAAUGACGGUACCCGGAGAAGAAGCCCCGGCUAACUUCGUG
RNAcentral lists this ribosomal RNA (472 nucleotides) under uncultured bacterium. Its description in RNAcentral is "partial 16S ribosomal RNA". It matches the Rfam family "Bacterial small subunit ribosomal RNA", at positions 28 to 507 of the family's 1533-position model. The record is from RNAcentral.